AGAGUUUGAUCCUGGCUCAGAACGAACGCUGGCGGCAGGCUUAACACAUGCAAGUCGAACGCGUGUAGCAAUACACGAGUGGCGCACGGGUGAGUAACGCGUGGAUAUCUGCCUUUUGGUUCGGAAUAACCCCGGGAAACUGGGGCUAAUACCGGAUGGUUCCUACGGGAUAAAGAUUUAUCGCCAAAAGAUGAGUCCGCGUACGAUUAGCUAGUUGGUGAGGUAAUGGCUCACCAAGGCGACGAUCGUUAGCUGGUCUGAGAGGACGAUCAGCCACACUGGGACUGAGACACGGCCCAGACUCCUACGGGAGGCAGCAGUGGGGAAUAUUGGACAAUGGGGGCAACCCUGAUCCAGCCAUGCCGCGUGAGUGAUGAAGGCCUUCGGGUUGUAAAGCUCUUUUGGCGGGGACGAUGAUGACGGUACCCGCAGAAUAAGCCCCGGCUAACUUCGUGCCAGCAGCCGCGGUAAGACGAAGGGGGCUAGCGUUGUUCGGAAUUACUGGGCGUAAAGCGAGUGUAGGUGGUUGUCCAAGUUGGAUGUGAAAGCCUUGAGCUCAACUCAAGAAAUGCAUUCAGGACUGGAUGGCUAGAGGACCGGAGAGGAUAGUGGAAUUCCCAGUGUAGUGGUGAAAUACGUAGAGAUUGGGAAGAACACCAGUGGCGAAGGCGGCUAUCUGGACGGUUUCUGACACUAAGACUCGAAAGCGUGGGGAGCAAACAGGAUUAGAUACCCCCGUAGUCC
RNAcentral lists this ribosomal RNA (744 nucleotides) under uncultured Alphaproteobacteria bacterium. RNAcentral's name for it is "bacterial SSU rRNA". It matches the Rfam family "Bacterial small subunit ribosomal RNA", at positions 8 to 796 of the family's 1533-position model. Lineage: Bacteria; Pseudomonadati; Pseudomonadota; Alphaproteobacteria. The record is from RNAcentral.